ACACCUUCAAGCUCCGCUUGGUGUUGGGUGACUGUGGCCCCUCGGGGCCACUCGCCUCAAAGUCAUUGGCGGCCGGUUUGUAGGCUUCGAGCGCAGCACAUGUGCGUCUUCGUGCCUCGCGGAUCGGCUCCCAGAAGCUAAAUCUCACAU
RNAcentral lists this unclassified non-coding RNA (150 nucleotides) under Westerdykella dispersa. Its description in RNAcentral is "partial internal transcribed spacer 2". Lineage: Eukaryota; Fungi; Ascomycota; Dothideomycetes; Pleosporales; Sporormiaceae. The record is from RNAcentral.